RNAcentral lists this ribosomal RNA (1206 nucleotides) under Triticum aestivum (bread wheat). Its description in RNAcentral is "partial small subunit ribosomal RNA". The record is from RNAcentral. Lineage: Eukaryota; Viridiplantae; Streptophyta; Magnoliopsida; Poales; Poaceae.
AUGGAGUCGGCCGACGCAGCGGGUGGGGCGGCCGGGGACGGGGCGCCGCCGGGCCGCGGCUCCUCGGCCAAGCGCAUGCGCGGCGUGAUUGGCAGCGGCGGCGGCGACGGCAUGGAGGUGGUGCCGUGGGGGUCGCCGCCGCCGCCGGGCCAGCAGCCGGCGCAGCUCCAGGGGUCGGCGUCGCGGAUCUGCCGCGUGAGGGCGUCCGGGGGCAAGGACCGGCACAGCAAGGUGUACACGUCCAAGGGCAUCCGCGACCGCCGGGUGCGGCUCUCCGUGCCCACGGCCAUCCAGUUCUACGACCUGCAGGACCGCCUCGGCUUCGACCAGCCCAGCAAGGCCGUCGAGUGGCUCAUCAACGCCGCCUCCGCCGCCAUCGACGAGCUCCCCUCCCUCGACCCGGCCGCCUUCGCCAACAUGCCGGCCGACCACCAGGCCGCGCCCCGCGCCGGCAAGCAGCAGCAGCAACCGCAGGGCAGCAGGUCCCUGUGCAGCAGCACGUCGGAGACCAGCAAGGGGUCCGAGCUCUCGCUCUCGCGCUCCGACGGCCGCGUCGGCGGCGGCUCCUCCCGGGACAAGGAGGUCACCGUCGCCAGCAACCCCUCCGCGCAGGCCGGGUCCUUCACCGAGCUGCUCACCGGGGCGGGGGCGGGGGCGGCGUCGGCCGGCGCGGCCAUUGCCUCCGCGGCUCCGCGCAGGCAGUCCUGGCAGCAACAGCCCGUUUCCGCGGUCACCGCGGACCGCGUCGGCAUCGCGCACCCCGGUAAAGGCGCCGGCGCGCAGGUGGUGCCGACGUACCCCGGCUUCAGAUUCGGCAAUGCGCCCCCGUUCGGCAUGCAGCCGGCGCAGCCGUUCAACUUCGGCCCCUCCGCCCAGCACCAGAUGACGCAGUUCUCGCUCGUCCAGGGCGGGCUGGCGGCGGCUCCGGCUCCGGCUCAAGCCGGAGACUACAGCCUCGACUUCUCGAUGAACUCCGGUUACAUGGGUGCCAGCAGGGGGCCCCUUCAGUCCAAUUCGCCGCACUUCUCCAGCCACCACCAGCAGCAGCAGCAGCAGCGGCAGCUCCAGGACCUGGACGACGGUCCGAGCCCUCCCUUCCUGUACGAGAACGCCGCCGCCGCCGCCCCGCAUCUCACGGCGACCGCGGCGAUGCAGCUGUGGAACGGGUUCUCGCACGCCGGCAUGAAGGAGAAGAGCAAGAACUGA